GAGGCAGGCAGCGAGACGGGCGCGCCAUUUGCAUUCGCCCGCAGUCAUUUUUAUCCGCGGAGGAUUUCAAAGCCUCAGACAGAUUCACCAGUAGAAGCGGCUGAGAAAAGGCGGCUCGGCAGGUUCAGCGCUGCCAGGAGAGGAGGCGCAGGCUAGACAGACCCCUGCUUUGAGACAGGAAUUGUGUUGGAGAGCUUCAUUACCUACCACUGCACCCACCAAGACACUGUACUUCAUGGAAUGAACCAUGGUCUUCGAAGGGCAAUUUUGUUGGAUGGUAGGUGAAGUCAAAGUUUGUGGGAAUUUCAUUUC
Molecule: long non-coding RNA, 312 nt
Filed under: Bos mutus (wild yak)
Lineage: Eukaryota; Metazoa; Chordata; Mammalia; Artiodactyla; Bovidae
Description: lncRNA (ENSBMUG00000002863.1)
Source: RNAcentral